UAUAGUUUAUGCGGUUAUGACUCUUUAUAUGAAUAACUAUACCAAUUGUAGAGCUAAUGCAUGCGUUAAAGUCCCCACUAUACUAUGAAGGGGCGUUUUUAUUAGGUACAGAACCAUCACUGGCGCAAGCCUGACUUGUAGAUGAUUCAUAAUGACUGUACGGAUCGCCAUCACUGGCGACAAUCUGUUCACGUUUCUGACCUAUCAGCUUUCGACGGUAGGGUAUUGUCCUAUCGUGGCGUUGACGGGUAACGGAGAAUUAGGGUUCGAUUCCGGAGAGGGAGCCUGAGAAACGGCUACCACA
RNAcentral lists this ribosomal RNA (304 nucleotides) under uncultured eukaryote. Its description in RNAcentral is "partial 18S rRNA". It matches the Rfam family "Eukaryotic small subunit ribosomal RNA", at positions 111 to 414 of the family's 1831-position model. The record is from RNAcentral.